Molecule: ribosomal RNA, 453 nt
Filed under: uncultured Acaulospora
Lineage: Eukaryota; Fungi; Glomeromycota; Glomeromycetes; Diversisporales; Acaulosporaceae
Description: SSU rRNA
Rfam family: Eukaryotic small subunit ribosomal RNA
Source: RNAcentral
AGCAGCCGCGGUAAUUCCAGCUCCAAUAGCGUAUAUUAAAGUUGUUGCAGUUAAAAAGCUCGUAGUUGAAUUUCGGGAUUUAUCCGUCGGUCGGGCUUUUGGGUCUGUACUGGCGUGAUGAAUUCCUACCUUCUGAAUAACCAGCAUGCCAUUAAUUUGGUGCGCCGGGGAAGCAGGACUGUUACCUUGAAAAAUUAGAGUGCUUAAAGCAGGCUAUUGCCUGAAUACAUUAGCAUGGAAUAAUGAAAUAGGACGGCAUGGUUCUAUUUUGUUGGUUUCUAGGAUCACCGUAAUGAUUAAUAGGGAUAGUUGGGGGCAUUAGUAUUCAAUUGUCAGAGGUGAAAUUCUUGGAUUUAUUGAAGACUAACUUCUGCGAAAGCAUUUGCCAAGGAUGUUUUCAUUAAUCAAGAACGAAAGUUAGGGGAUCGAAGACGAUCAGAUACCGUCGUAGUC